Molecule: ribosomal RNA, 161 nt
Filed under: Echinops longipenicillatus
Lineage: Eukaryota; Viridiplantae; Streptophyta; Magnoliopsida; Asterales; Asteraceae
Description: 5.8S ribosomal RNA
Rfam family: 5.8S ribosomal RNA
About the family: 5.8S ribosomal RNA (5.8S rRNA) is a component of the large subunit of the eukaryotic ribosome. It is transcribed by RNA polymerase I as part of the 45S precursor that also contains 18S and 28S rRNA. Functionally, it is thought that 5.8S rRNA may be involved in ribosome translocation.
Source: RNAcentral
ACGACUCUCGGCAACGGAUAUCUCGGCUCACGCAUCGAUGAAGAACGUAGCAAAAUGCGAUACUUGGUGUGAAUUGCAGAAUCCCGUGAACCAUCGAGUUUUUGAACGCAAGUUGCGCCCGAAGCCAUUCGGCCGAGGGCACGUCUGCCUGGGCGUCACAC